Molecule: RNA transcript, 2354 nt
Organism: Sinocyclocheilus anshuiensis
Lineage: Eukaryota; Metazoa; Chordata; Actinopteri; Cypriniformes; Cyprinidae
Gene name: cysteine-rich DPF motif domain-containing protein 1-like
Exons: 4
Source: RefSeq, a predicted model, not a curated record
GCCAAAUAAGCACCAGCAGUCAAGAAAAACUCUAGAAAAAUAUAGAGUUGACUAUCCUGAAUAUUGGGUGAUUUGUCAUACCAUGUUUUAAUGCUAGAAUGAAAUGUAUAGAGAGAGCAAUAUAAAUCAGAUUUGUUACUCAUUAGAAAUGCUUGUACAUUGAACAUAAUUUGUCAAAUCUUUUGUAUAAAAAUAUUAUUGUACACUGUAUAGCACUCCAACUGUAAUUUUACUGUACAAAUGUGUUACGUGUUCUGAAUUAGUACUGAUCGGUAAAUUAUUGUUUUAUCGUAUACUUUUGCAGGGUAAAUCUAAAUUUCAUAGCAUCUAGAGCCAAAUCUACUACAAUCCACAAAGACACUUGAUGAGAAAAUGCUCUGUAGAUUUCGGUUGCUGCAGUGUAAUGAACCAUUUCAUGUUCAUUUGUUUCUUUUGGGUGCGCAGUUACUGACUGAUCUGGUGUUUGUAGUUUGAAAUUAAAUAUAACGUUCAUGAAAUAUGUUUCUAAACACGGGAAACGAGCGUGUGUUAUUUCUGGCGCCAUCCCCUGUCUUGUCUGAUGUACUGCAAGCGGAAACUAUAAACCGGAAACGCUUGACGCACCGUCGUGACGUCACAGCAACAUGGCGCGCUCUCAGAAGGCGUGCUCACUCAAAACAAACGGCGCCGACGCUGUGCAGCACGAGAACCGCACGUUAGAGGGCAUGGAUCUGAGCGGAGGAUCCGCGCUCGGCUUGUUCACCUGUGAGCUGUGCGAAAUAUCCAGCCCGUACAGCUUCUACGGGCAGAAGCCGCCAAACACGAGAGCGAUAGUGCUCUUGGAGGAAUGUUACGGCAUAAAGGAUCCCUUCAGCCCAGAGAGAGAAAAGUUUCUUGUUUUAGGAUCCAAGUGCUGUCUGUGCAGUAAGACGGUGUGUGUGGGAACGGACUGCAGUCUGUUCUACACCAAGCGCUUUUGUUUGCCCUGUGUGCGGGAUCACCGUCAUCAGUUUCCAGAACAUGUUCAGAACGAGGUGCUGAGGAAAAAGAGUGUCCAGAAGACGUCCUCUUCAUGAUACUAGAAUGAUUUAGUCAGGACACUAGUGAGCCAUCUGGCCAGACACAAUAUUAAGUUUGUUUUUUUUAUUAUAUUUGUAGUUGUGUUGCGCAACUGGAGGCAGCAAAGCAUGUUUUGAUAAAAAUCAUUUCUGUGCUGUCAUUUACUGUGAUGAUUUUUCCUAACGGGUUUUAUGAUGGUGAUAAAUGCCUUGUGUUGCAUGUAGCAACUAUAAAAUAAGUGAUGUUUAUGUGUAUGUUUGUGUCAUUGGUUGUGAUUACUUGAUGACUGAAAAGAUAAAUGACUGAUGUAUGCAUGUCUGAUGAUGUAGGUGAGUCUCAAACGGUUGUUGGAGUGCAAACCUGUUGUGAGCAUUACCGCUACACCACACCUCCGGACCUGCCUCCUUCCAGAUCCUUCCGGCCUUAAGUUGAGGCUGAGCCUGACUUAGUUGCAAAAACCACAGUGGGUGGAGCAGACAGAGCCGUGGAGGAGCUGACCGAGGAGUGGUGGAGCUGGAGGACCAGAGAGAUGAUGGUGCAGUGGAACCAGAGUGGAGUGGCUGACCAGACCAAGGAUGGAGCACUGGCAUUGCUGAGGAGCUGGAGACUGGAACGGCUGACUGGAUGGUGGAGCACAGAGUGAAUUGGCAAAUAAAGUGGUGCGAUGACAGUGAAGAGGAGAGUGAUGACAACACCCGAAGAAGGGGGACCAUGACUGUGGUCCCCCCCCAGCCUCCAAGACAAUGACCAGCAGCGGUUAUGCACCUUUUCUUUUAAAACAACGCUACGUAUGUCCCCAAAAACAAAAUUUACACACCCACUAGAUGGCAGUAAAGCUGCUACACAAAUUCUACCUGUUCACUCAUCCACCAUGUUAGUUUUUUCUCUCACAAUUUUAAUCUGCACCUGUGUUGCCACAUCAACAUUUCAUACUUAGCAAAAGGUAUGAAACUUUUUCAAACUAUAUUUUAAUUUAAGGGCCAAUGAUUUGCUGGAUUUCGGUAAUUUAGUCAUUUACUCAACUUGCAAGAAAAAAAACAGUUUCUUCCCCCAGGCAAUCUACCUCACGAACAAUUAAAAUGUGCAAUAACCUUAUAUUUAUGUUACCACCCUCCAUCCUAGUACAUCUUAUAUUCUUUUCCUAUUCUAUUUAUAGCACAUCUAUACAAAAUAAAUUUUUCUACAUACAUUUGGUACAUUUAUAUAUACAUGUGUAUUUUCUUUGCAUCUUUUAUAUCUGUGUUGUUGCUCUGUGUACUGGAUGCGUGUGACCCUAAAACAAAUUCCUUGUGUGCAAACAUACUUAUCAAUAUAGC